Aegilops tauschii subsp. strangulata is the source of this 2976-nucleotide non-coding RNA. NCBI's taxonomy places the organism in Eukaryota, Viridiplantae, Streptophyta, Magnoliopsida, Poales, Poaceae. The record is from RefSeq and is a predicted model, not a curated record.
UCUCAGAGUCAAAGACCCAGUGCUGUCCGGUUUGUCGGAACGCGCGGCGGCGUUCCCCUUUCUCCUAUGGCGGCGGCGGCGGCGGCGAUGGAUCCCGGAGAAGCGUCGGCGGCGUAAUGCGAGGCGGGCAGGCAGUCGCCAUGGUCCGCAGGAUGUCCAGCGAUCGCCAGUCGGCGUCAGAGGUGGCAGCUGGCCGCCGGUUCCGCUCCAGGUUGCAGCACCUCAGCGCCAGUCGCAUGAGCCGCUCCGCCUGCACCUCUGGCCAGGUGCCAGCGGAGGCGUCCAGCAGGCCGUGCACGGCGUCCAUCUUCAUCGCCUCCUGCACCUGCUCGACGAUGUUGAGGUCGAGCAGCCCCGUGAGGACCUGCAGGAUCACCACGCCGAACGCGUAGACGUCCGACUCUGCAGUGAGCUCGCCUGUCGUGAAGAAGACGGGGUCCAUGUACCCCAUCGUGCCCAUCGGGUUCGUCCGCCGGCAGAUGGUGUCCUCCUCCAGCGGCUUCAUCUGCACUACGCGCGCCGUCCCGAAGUCUCCUAGCCGGCUCACGUUCCCGGCAUCGAGGAGGAUGUUCGUCAGCUUCAGGUCCGCGUGGAUGAUGGCAUGGGGUCGGCUCGAGUGGAGGUGCGCCAGCGCGGAACGCUGUUCGCUGAGGAUCCUGAUACGGUCCUUCCAUGGAAGCCCCUUGGAGAGCCCGUCCAUGAGUGUGCCGUUGGGGAGGUACUCGUAGACGAGGCCGCAUGAUUCCGGGCACACGCCGAUCAGCUUCACGAUGUGUGGGUGCUUGACUCUGCUCAGCACAACGACCUGGGGAAUUCCAAACAUGAUCGACAUUUCCUCCGGUUACUAUAUGUAAUGCAGCUCAGAAGAUUCUUCUCCAAGUAGUAAGGUUUACAACACCAGUAAGAAUGUCAUCAUGUGUAAGUAUGUUAAUGCACAUCAAGACAUCUCCUGUCAAGCUGUCAACAGCAUAUACCAGCAUGAUAACUAGAAUAUGCGAAGAUUGGGGUUGCAGCUUGCAUGCAUUGGAGGCUCCAUUUGACUCAUUUGGAGGGAAGUGCUUGUCGAGACGAAUUUGCUGAGCUAUCUGCAUAGCCAUUCUUGGAUUGCAGAACGGAGGGCAUGGUUUGGCAAAAGAUCACGGUGGAGUAGCUCAAGAUUUGUCAUGGGUGAUGUAUGGUGGCCACUGUCAAUCCACUCCCUUAUAGCUUCGGCUUCAUAGCCUGGCGUGUGGUUUGUGUAGCCAUGUGCUUGAAACACACCACGUCUCCGACAAGCUAGUCGACCUAUCCACUGAAAACUGUUGAGCAGCAGACUCUUGCGUACCUUCCGGCGUUGCUUCAUGGCCAAGGGGCACGGCAUUCCUAGUGUGGAGAAAGCAGAGAGGGAGGGAAACAUGUCAAAUGCAGGCUGGAGUUCAGCUACAAUGUAAUCAAUCCUAUGAACAAAACUGAAGAUCAUCUGCAGUCGACCAACCGAACCAUACCUACGAGUAAGGAAUUGCCCAACAGUGCCACUGCAAUUUCCAUGGCAUGGCAUGGCAUCGACAUGGCAGGAGCUACCUGCUCAACAGUGCUUGCCUUUCUCAUGGACGACUGAAUGACUUAUACAAGACCUCUCUGCUCCGUAUAGCUGCUAAUUAAACUCCUCUCUGCUUCCCUCCUCUGUAAGUCUUCUUCUCUGCUCCUCUCCUCUGGUUUCGUGGUCAGCUUCUGGUUGCGCACCACCUGUUUGUUCGAAUGCCCAGCCAAUGUUCUCGCUCAGCUCAAGGAAGAUAGAUAGGUAUCUUACAGUAGACCCUUAAGUGGCUGUUUGGCAUGCAAGUUCCUAAUCUUCUGUUGGAAGCCGUUCGUUCUUAAUCUUUCUUUGCCUUCCUUCUACGAAAACAAUACGCUCUUCCUUACAAAGUUAGCGCUAGUGGAUUGGGGCUAAAUUGUACUAGGUGAGUAAGACCAGCUAAAUGACUUUGCCUAUGAAGUUUCCGCCGACCUGGCACGAGUAGUACCGAUAAUAAUGUACCUAUUAUCUCCUGAAAAAUGAUGGCAGCUUACCUUGAAUUAUCAACUCAUGCCUGUAUAUGCAGUAAGAAUGGAACGUGCAUAGCUAAUUUAUGGGUAAUCACAUUAUUAUAAGCCGUCUGUGCUCUGAUUUAUCUGAUUGCUCAUUUACUGUAAAUUGUUUUGGGACCAUGCUGAUUUGAUUUAACUCCCAACUUUGCAUAACUGAGAGGGAAUUAAAAUGGUCAUACACAUGACAUCACUUUUCAAUGAACCUAAAAAUAGCUACUCUCUCCUGGAGAGUUACAUGCCAUGUCAGUUCAUCCCAAACACAUGAGACCGAAAACAUGUACAUCACUUCUCGGCCUUGGGCCCAAACAUUGAGAAAGCGCUAACUGCUAAAGUGGGGGAAAAUAAAUUCUCUACACAGACUAUACACACUUGCAAACCAUGGAAGGUUAAAAAAUCACGGUUGCUGUUGCAUUUGCCAUUCUUGAAUUGCAAAACGAAGGGCAUUGUUCGGCAUUAACUCAUGGUGUGUGAAGCUGAGGUAGGUCAUGGGGGACAUUUAUGCCCCCUUUGAAGCCAGUCCUUGAUGGCCUCACCUUCAUAUGUGAAUCCAUCGGCAGCAAUGUGUGGAUCCCUCAUGAUCUCCUGAAAAUGUUACAAAGAUGCAAGAUUAGCAAACUAAAGAUGAAAAACGUUGGUGGCUUGCAUUUAUCGUCUGGACAGUUCAUCAUAGCUUGCAGGAUACCCCAGGCUUCAUUUGCAAGAUUAGGCCGUUCCUUCCGUUCAUACCGGCAACAUCUGAGUGCUAAUCUUGCCAACUCUUCAGUGUAUUCAGUUGGCCAUUCCCCUGCAGAAGUAUCAAUUAUAUCUUGCAACAUGUCAUUGCUCAAGGCUGCCUCCACCUCAUUCGGAAGGCCUAGGGGGCUCUUGCCAGUUAGCAACCGCAUCAGAACUACACCAAAGGAGUAGACG